This 323-nucleotide ribosomal RNA is filed under the name uncultured bacterium. Its description in RNAcentral is "bacterial SSU rRNA". It matches the Rfam family "Bacterial small subunit ribosomal RNA", at positions 84 to 422 of the family's 1533-position model. The record is from RNAcentral.
AACUUCUGUCAGUGGCGGACGGGUGAGUAACGCGUAGGUAUCUGUCCAUGGGUGGGGGAUAACGGCGGGAAACUGCUGCUAAUACCGCAUGACACCUGAGGGUCAAAGGCGCGAGUCGCCUGUGGAGGAGCCUGCGUCCGAUUAGCUAGUUGGUGGGGUAACGGCCUACCAAGGCUGUGAUCGGUAGCUGGUCUGAGAGGAUGAUCAGCCACACUGGGACUGAGACACGGCCCAGACUCCUACGGGAGGCAGCAGUGGGGAAUAUUGGACAAUGGGCGCAAGCCUGAUCCAGCAAUGCCGCGUGGGUGAAGAAGGUCUUCGGA